This 229-nucleotide unclassified non-coding RNA is filed under the name plant metagenome. RNAcentral describes it as "partial contains small subunit ribosomal RNA, internal transcribed spacer 1, and 5.8S ribosomal RNA". The record is from RNAcentral.
UAUCCGUAGGUGAACCUGCGGAGGGAUCAUUACAGAGUUCAUGCCCUACCGGGUAGAUCUCCCACCCUAUGUUAUUAUUACUUUGUUGCUUUGGCGGGCCGUUAGGCUUCGGCCCGACUACCGGCCCCGGCUGGUAAGCGCCCGCCAGAGGACCCAAAACCCUGAAUAUUAGUGUCGUCUGAGUACUAUAUAAUAGUUAAAACUUUCAACAACGGAUCUCUUGGUUCUG